Molecule: small nuclear RNA, 19 nt
Filed under: Arabidopsis thaliana (thale cress)
Lineage: Eukaryota; Viridiplantae; Streptophyta; Magnoliopsida; Brassicales; Brassicaceae
Description: snRNA_04013
Source: RNAcentral
UGGGUUAGUCGAUCCUAAG